Lycium ferocissimum is the source of this 1675-nucleotide RNA transcript. RefSeq lists it as uncharacterized. The transcript has 11 exons. The record is from RefSeq and is a predicted model, not a curated record. NCBI's taxonomy places the organism in Eukaryota, Viridiplantae, Streptophyta, Magnoliopsida, Solanales, Solanaceae.
ACCGCCAAAAAAACAAAACCCAAAACACCGAACAAACAGCCUUUCAAAUUGCCUACUUUCCUCAAUCGCAAUUUGAAGGCUUCUUUCUUAAAUUCCCAAUAAACUCUUCACAAUUAAAGUUCAUUAUUUUUCGGGGUGAGAUGUUGUUGUUGUGUAGCAGAGAUGUGUAGGAGUGCAGAACAGGGAGGAUGCAAACCACUAAUGGCUCCAUUCUUUUCAUGAUGACCAGAUUGAGUAAUUUUAUUUUCAAUACGUUUGAAGCCAGCUUUGUAAAACCUGGAUCUGCUAACUAACUGCCAAAGGAAACCGCAGAGAGAAGGGUGGAAUCUGGCAUAAGCCCCUCAUGCUCUUAAGCAGACAGUUUGGAUAAAGAAGAAGCCUCAGGUGACCAUCUAUAAUAACUCUGAAGAUCUCUUAUCCAUUCAUAUCAGGAGAGACACGCCAAGGCCAUAGAGACUCCCAACAGAAAUGCUUUUGAGUUAAUGAUGAGGUACACCGAACGUAUACACGAGAUCUGUUGACGUUAAUAUGGAUGUUGCAAAGGACCUUCUAAGGGUUGCUGAUCAAUAUCUUCUAGAGGGCCUUAAGCAUCUUGUGCGAGUAUGCAAUUGCACAGGAUAUCUCAGUGGAAAGUGUCUCUGAUGUUUGAAUUAUUGGACGCAUUUACUGCAUUGUCAUUACGAAAUGCUUGCAUUAUCUUCAUUUUGGAGAAGUUUCGACAAAUUAAGCCAUGCCAUGGAGGGAUGCAAUGUAGCAUUCAGUUUUGUUUCGAAAGGGCAUUGACAGAUAAUUUUGGAAAUGCUGCAUUGGUUCUUUGUUUGUUCCUGCGAUUGAAGGUGAAGAUGAAUUCAUGUUUGCUGUGCUCAUUGUGGAUUGAAAAUCACGGGUUCCAUCUUCAAGCGUGGCAAUCGUUGGCCUAUGUUCAGACCUUUUGGAGCCAAAUGGAGGUGAAUAUGAGGCUCGUUUCAUGCAUUCAUAGUUAUACGGUACCAGACCAAAAAAUACCUAGCAACGCCGCCGUCGACUACCGGAAAAGUUCCCGCCGGUCGAUUGUACCUUUCAGCUAUUCAAAGGAUAAGAGUAUUAAAGGCUUUCAAGGCAGAAGUAAAAAGGGGCAACAUAUUCCAUGGCGUUCGCCAAUUAUUUAUCCUUCUUCCUCUUUAUCACCCUCUUAUUUUCAUUGCAAAUCCAUGCGAGAGAGAGCCAAUUCUUCACCAACAAAGAAACAGAAGUAGCAACUCUACCAGUUUCCACCCCCACCACCACCAGUAACGUUAUUCCUAACAAGUUCAACCACAAUGGUGACAGGGUGUCAAAGGUCACCAAUUCUAUUGGACUGUCCAGUGACGGCAAGUACUACAGUAGAUAUAAGCUAAGUGAGGAACAUAGGACUUUUCGGAACUAUCAUGGCAAUGAAGGUGAUUACAACGAUAAAGAGGAGCCCCAGCCUUAGUUUCCAAAAGAAAAAGGAGCUCAGGUCUUGAGUUAAGAGAUCAACAUGAGAUGAGUUCCAAUUGGCAUUAGUUUUCCGUUUUCAGUUUUCAGUUUUCAGUUUUUAGUUAUGUUUUAGUCGAUAAGAUGUUAAUCUGUUUUAAAUUAUAUGCACGGAUGGUGUAAAUGAUAUUUACAAAAUCAGAUCUGGUAAAAGUGACCUAUAAAAGGUCUUGAUCCUAGA